CACGUAGGGUGCGAGCGUUGCCCGGAAUUAUUGGGCGUAAAGAGCUCGUAGGCGGUGUGUCGCGUCGGCCGUGAAAACCUGCAGCUUAACUGUGGGCGUGCGGUCGAUACGGGCAUCACUGGAGUUCGGCAGGGGAGACUGGAAUUCCUGGUGUAGCGGUGAAAUGCGCAGAUAUCAGGAGGAACACCGGUGGCGAAGGCGGGUCUCUGGGCCGAUACUGACGCUGAGGAGCGAAAGCGUGGGGAGCAAACAGG
Molecule: ribosomal RNA, 254 nt
Filed under: uncultured bacterium
Lineage: Bacteria
Description: partial 16S ribosomal RNA
Rfam family: Bacterial small subunit ribosomal RNA
Source: RNAcentral